Molecule: ribosomal RNA, 524 nt
Filed under: uncultured Acaulospora
Lineage: Eukaryota; Fungi; Glomeromycota; Glomeromycetes; Diversisporales; Acaulosporaceae
Description: SSU rRNA
Rfam family: Eukaryotic small subunit ribosomal RNA
Source: RNAcentral
AGCAGCCGCGGUAAUUCCAGCUCCAAUAGCGUAUAUUAAAGUUGUUGCAGUUAAAAAGCUCGUAGUUGAAUUUCGGAGUUUGUCGGUUGGUCGGGCUUCACUGUUCGCACUGGCCUGAUGGAUUCCUACCUUCUGAAUAACCAGCAUGCUAUUAAUUUAGUGUGUUGGGGAAGCAGAGCUAUUACCUUGAAAAAAUUAGAGUGCUUAAAGCAGGCUUACGCUUGAAUAGAUUAGCAUGGAAUAAUAAAAUAGGACGGCAUGGUUCUAUUUUGUUGGUUUCUAGGAUCACCGUAAUGAUUAAUAGGGAUAGUUGGGGGCAUUAGUAUUCAAUUGUCAGAGGUGAAAUUCUUGGAUUUAUUGAAGACUAACUUCUGCGAAAGCAUUUGCCAAGGAUGUUUUCAUUAAUCAAGAACGAAAGUUAGGGGAUCGAAGACGAUCAGAUACCGUCGUAGUCUUAACCAUAAACUAUGCCGACUAGGGAUCGGACGAUGUUAAUUUUUUAAUGACUCGUUCGGCGCCUUACG